GAUGAAGAACGCAGCGAAAUGCGAUAAGUAAUGUGAAUUGCAGAAUCCAGUGAAUCAUCGAAUCUUUGAACGCACAUUGCGCCCGCCAGCAUUCUGGCGGGCAUGCCUGUUCGAGCGUCAUUUCAACCCUUGACCUCCCUUUGGGGAAGUCGGCGUUGGGGACCGGCAGCACACCGCCGGCCCUGAAAUGGAGUGGCGGCCCGUCCGCGGCGACCUCUGCGUAGUAAUCCAACUCGCACCGGAACCCCGACGCGGCCACGCCGUAAAACACCCAACUUCUGAACGUUGACCUCGAAUCAGGUAGGACUACCCGCUGAACUUAAGCAUAUCAAUAAGCGGAGGA
This 343-nucleotide unclassified non-coding RNA is filed under the name soil metagenome. RNAcentral describes it as "partial contains 5.8S ribosomal RNA, internal transcribed spacer 2, and large subunit ribosomal RNA". The stretch from base 1 to 120 matches the Rfam family "5.8S ribosomal RNA", at positions 35 to 154 of the family's 154-position model. The record is from RNAcentral.